CUGGUUUCGUACCGUAGACGUGCGACGGAGUCCACGGCGGAGCCAGUGAGCAUGUAAGACGUCCAUCGCACCGUAGGAGUCUGCCUCCCUACGGCCCGAACACGGGAGAGAUCGCUGAGCGUUACAAC
Molecule: non-coding RNA, 128 nt
Filed under: Corynebacterium mastitidis DSM 44356
Lineage: Bacteria; Bacillati; Actinomycetota; Actinomycetes; Mycobacteriales; Corynebacteriaceae
Description: atpB RNA
Rfam family: atpB RNA
Source: RNAcentral